Long non-coding RNA from Patella vulgata (common limpet), 3988 nucleotides. RefSeq lists it as uncharacterized. The record is from RefSeq and is a predicted model, not a curated record. The transcript has 3 exons. NCBI's taxonomy places the organism in Eukaryota, Metazoa, Mollusca, Gastropoda, Patellidae.
GAGAGAGAGGUUUAACGUCCACUCGACACAAACUAGGUCAUUUCGGGACUAACACAUGGUUCAAUUUUAUUUCAAUAAUUCGCUUGCGCGUAGAGGUCUUUAGCAGUGGGAGGAAAGCGGAGGACCCGGAGAAAACCCACGAGGUUGGGCAAGAGAGCAUGCAGCACAAAAGGUUCAAAGUAGGACCGUAUGCCAAGUAUAUUUGAAUUAAAACACAAAAUUUUCCAUAACGUUUAUUUAACCAACUUAAAGAGAAGCACGAACUAUCGUAACCGGAAGAAAAAAAUACGAAUGCAAGUCAACAAUAAAAUGCGUCCAUCUUCGGUCAAAUUGAUUUAAGAUUUCCCUUCGUUGCAUCAGACCAUUAGUUUAAAAUUAUGUAGGAAAAGAAGUCACGUAGAAUUUCGUUAAUGGGGGAUUGUGGUGAGAUUAGAGAAAGAUCUGCCAGAUCUCACUAUAACAGUUAAAAAAAAGAUAAAGUAAAGGGAAUACGCUGAAAAUGCCAGUCAAAUUGCUCCAUUCUGAACCGAGAUAUUAGCUUUUUCAAUUUUAGGCUAGCCUCGAUCAUCGUUACAGAAGUCGUACGACAAAAAAUGAAAUCUCGAUUAUCCAAUUUUAUAUUCCAAUUCGUUAAAUAUCGUAGGCUAGCGACGGCAUCGCGAGUUGAUUAUAGUCAGGAUGAGAGUCUAAACUUAUCAAUCUGAUUCAAACACAGAUCCUAUUUCGUUUCGAUUUUUAUAGUUCAAAAUUUUGUUUUACUUGUCUUUAUUACACUAGGAUCUGGAAGAGCUGUUAUCAUCGACGUGUUCUGAAUAGUGUGAAGUUUUAGCCAAUGAAACGGUCUGUUACGGUGAGCUUUAGGCGUGUUUUGAACGGAGCUGUGGUUAAUCCACUAGUAACAUCAAUGCUGAUUGGUUAAUCAAAUGUCUGACGUCAUAGGUAUGACCUCUGACGUGACAUAUCGCAACAACCAGUCAGAUCUUCAUGUAGUGUAGGCCAUCGAAAGUAUAUUAAAAAUGCGAAACGAAAUACAGAUCUGUAUUUUAAUCAGAUUGUUAACUUGUUUAUUUUUCUGUUGUUAUUUAUAUUACAGACGAUAAAGACUCCAACGUAACCAAGAAAAGUCGUCAUGACAACUCGCCCCAAAAAUCAGACAAGACGGUGUUAAUAGUAGGAACAGUACUAGGAAGUCUAUGUUUGAUUAUUGUCAUCAUCACUAUAACAAUUAUUCUCUUAAGGAAGUGGAAAAAUAAGAAAGAUAAUGCCGUUAUAAAAAGAGCUACGCCAGACUCCAACCCAUCUUCUGUUCACGAUCAGCAUUACUAUCACCCCAUAGAACCCAACCAUGUGGGUGUUAUGGGUGAUGUUGAAACCGACAGCCAGGUAGAUAACUACAACCAUAUUGGUGAUAUUAAAACCAGCAACCAGGUAGAUACCAGUACUUACAACCAUAUUGGUGAUAUUAAAACCGACAGUCAGGCAGAUACUUACAACCAUAUUGGUGAUAUUAAACCCAGUAGCCAGGCAGAUACUUACAACCAUAUUGGUGAUAUUAAACCCAGCAACCAGGUAGAUACCAGUACUUACAACCAUAUUGGUGAUAUUAAAACCGGCAACCAGGUAGAUACCAGUACUUACAACCAUAUUGGUGAUAUUAAAACCGGCAACCAGGCAGAUACUUACAACCAUAUCGGUGAUAUUAAAACCAACAGCCAGGUAGAUACUUACAACCAUAUUGGUGAUAUUAAACCCAGUAGCCAGGCGGAUACUUACAACCACAUUGGUGAUAUUAAAACCGGCAACCAGGCAGAUACUUACAACCAUAUCGGUGAUUUUAAAACGAGCAACCCAGGAGAUACCAGCAACUACGACCAUAUUGGUGAUAAUAAAACCGCCAACCCGGCAGAUACCAGCAACUACGACCAGUAGUUCCCGUACCAUUAAAAUUUAGUGGGAUCUCGCGUUUCUUAUAUUUCUGAGUUUUAAUUUUGAUAUGAUUUUUAAUAUCGUGUUAUAUUUAUAUAAUUAGAGGAUUUAAACUCCUUUAUCAACUCCUUUGAUUUGUGUCAAAAUACAAUUGGGUUGAUAAAGCAGGGCUUAUAGGAAUAAUUGUUUCUAGAGCAGAUUAAAGAUGCAUUAUGUAAGAUGUAAAUAAAGAGAGAGUGAGUGAGAGAGAGAGAGAAAGAGAGAGAGAGAGAGAUGGGGUUUAACGUCCACUCGACACAAACUAGGUCAUUUCGGGACUAACAUAUGGUUUAAUUUUAUUUCAAUAAUUCGCUUGCGCGUAGGGGGUUUAGCAGUGGGAGGAAACCGGAGGACCCGGAGAAAACCCACGAGGUUGGACAGGCGACCCUACUCCUUGUCACGUACAAGAGAGAGAGAAGAGAGAGAGAGAGAGAGAGAGAGAGAGAGGGGGAGGUAACAUCCACUCGUUACUAAUAUAUGGUUAAAUAUUUUCUUUCAAUAAUUCGCUUGCGCAUAGGGAUUUGUAGCAGUUGUGGGAGAUAAAGCAGGGAAUCGAAACUACGCCACUUGACUCAAUGGUAGACCGUCUGAUACAACGAGCACGCGUUAACCAUUCGGCCACCCAUUCUCCUUUAGAUAAAGAGCUGACCGUUCUUGCUAUACGUAUCAACGAUAAAGCCAAAUUAAUAUUUUGAAAAUGUAAUUCAAAUAAUUUUAAUCUGAGCAAAGUUCUAAAUGUUGAAAAAUGUAGCGUAGAUUGGUCAUUAUUGUAGCAACCGUACUGGACAAACGAGACUAUCAGUGUUAAAGUUCAAUUUUUUAGAUCUUGCGGGCGAUUAAUUCCAUUUUAAUCUCUAUCAUUGAACGGUCUAUAGUGCGUUGAUGGGCUGACCAUGUUAAUAAAUGUCUAAAUAAUAGUUUAUAUAACAUUUGAAGCCAUAGAUUUGUACUAGGCAGAUUUUGCUCUUACAUAAUGCAUCUUUAAGCGAAAGUCUCGUUGUUUUUGGCAAACUGCGUCGACAGUUGAAACAAAAUCGGUUAUAUAGACUUAGAUUCCAAAGUUUAGUUUUGAUACAAAUCGAAGAGAUUUCGCCAUUUCAUGAACAUAAAACUGUUUUGUUGAUGAUUUUUUUUUUAUAUUACAAGAUUACAAUUUCGUUCCUUUGACAUAUUUUAUUAAAGUUAUUCUAUUUAAGUUUUUUUAAGUUAUAUGUACCUGAUCAGACAUGGUAGUUGUGUAGUAAUAAUAUUUUCAGUUACCUGAUAGUAGUGAUAGUAAAAGUACUUCGAUCAGUCAGGAGGUAAUUGGUGGUUGACUAGCUAACCGGAUGUGGACAGUUUGCUUGAAACGUCUUAUACUGGACGUGGGCGUGGCCUGCCUGUGUUUUUGUUCCCCCUAAACGAUCGCCAUUCUUCCUCUAUAAAUUGCAAACAAGUAUGGCGGUCGUUUAGGGCGUUACCUUUUUUUAUUUAAUUAUUUCUGUAGUUUUGUAAUCGGAGUUCAGCUUUAAGGAGCAUGUCGAUUUACCUUGAGCCAUGUUGAGUUAUUUUGAGCUAUGUUAAAGUUAUUAUAUUUAAGGAGCAUGUUGAUUUACUUUGAGCUAUUUUGAGUUAUUUUGGACUAUGUUAAAGUUAUUAUAUUUAAGGUGCAUGUUGAUUUACCUUGAGCUAUGUUGAGUUAUUUUGAGCUAUGUUAAAGUUAUUAUAUUUAAGGAGCAUGUUGAUUUACCUUGAGCUAUGUUGAGUUAUUUUGGACUAUGUUAAAGUUAUUAUAUUUAAGAAAUUAUAUUUAAGUUAUUAUAUUUAAGGAAUAGGUUGAUUUAUUUUAAGUGAGAUCUGUUGGGGGUUAGGGGUAAAUAUGGUUUGAAUACUUUAUUUUUUGGGGGCUAAUGUUUAUUUUUUGUUCAAUUUGUUUUUUUGCUAUCUGAAGAUCAAUCUAGAUCGCAUCAAUCCAAUUUGAUUCAACGUCUGUAUAUUGUCAUGCUUUAAUGCGAAUAAACUAAUAUUAUUAUUAUUAUUAUUA